Molecule: ribosomal RNA, 816 nt
Filed under: uncultured bacterium
Lineage: Bacteria
Description: bacterial SSU rRNA
Rfam family: Bacterial small subunit ribosomal RNA
Source: RNAcentral
ACGCAUGCAAGUCGAACGCAGUAGCAAUACUGAGUGGCAGACGGGUGAGUAACAUGUGGGAAUCUGCCUUGUGGUUCAGGACAACAUUGGGAAACCGAUGCUAAUACUGGAUAAGCCCUUACGGGGAAAGUUUUAAUGCCAUAAGAUGAGCCCGCAUUUGAUUAGUUAGUUGGUGAGGUAAUGGCUCACCAAGACAAUGAUCACUAGCUGAUCUGAGAGGAUGAUCAGCCACACUGGGACUGAGACACGGCCCAGACUCCUACGGGAGGCAGCAGUGGGGAAUCUUGCACAAUGGAGGAAACUCUGAUGCAGCGAUGCCGCGUGAGUGAAGAAGGCCUUUGGGUUGUAAAGCUCUUUUGUAGGGGAAGAUAAUGACUGUACCCUAAGAAUAAGGUCCGGCUAACUUCGUGCCAGCAGCCGCGGUAAUACGAAGGGACCUAGCGUAGUUCGGAAUUACUGGGCGUAAAGCGCGCGUAGGCCGUUGAGUUAGUUAAUUGUGAAAUCCCAAAGCUUAACUUUGGAACUGCAAUUAAAACUGCUCGACUAGAGUUUGAUAGAGGAAAGCGGAAUACAUAGUGUAGAGGUGAAAUUCGUAGAUAUUAUGUAGAACACCAGUUGCGAAGGCGGCUUUCUGGAUCAACACUGACGCUGAGGCGCGAAAGUAUGGGUAGCAAAGAGGAUUAGAUACCCUCGUAGUCCAUACCAUAAACGAUGAUUGCUAGAUGUUGGAAAUUUAUUUUCAGUAUCGCAGCUAACGCAUUAAGCAAUCCGCCUGGGGAGUACGACCGCAAGGUUAAAACUCAAAUGAAUUGACGG